CUUCAGGGAGCCGAGCCACAGCGGCUCGUCGGCCGCGCGCUCCUGGCCGUAGGUGGCGAGAAGGGCCUGGGCCUC
RNAcentral lists this antisense RNA (75 nucleotides) under Streptomyces albireticuli. RNAcentral's name for it is "ASpks TB sRNA". It matches the Rfam family "ASpks TB sRNA". The record is from Rfam by way of RNAcentral. Lineage: Bacteria; Bacillati; Actinomycetota; Actinomycetes; Kitasatosporales; Streptomycetaceae.